AGCGAACGCUGGCGGCAGGCCUAACACAUGCAAGUCGAACGAACCUUUCGGGGUUAGUGGCGGACGGGUGAGUAACACGUGGGAACGUGCCUUUAGGUUCGGAAUAACUCAGGGAAACUUGUGCUAAUACCGAAUGUGCCCUUCGGGGGAAAGAUUUAUCGCCUGUAGAGCGGCCCGCGUCUGAUUAGCUAGUUGGUUGAGGUAAUGGCUCACCAAGGCGACGAUCAGUAGCUGGUCUGAGAGGAUGAUCAGCCACAUUGGGACUGAGACACGGCCCAAACUCCUACGGGAGGCAGCAGUGGGGAAUCUUGCGCAAUGGGCGAAAGGCUGACGCAGCCAUGCCGCGUGAAUGAUGAAGGUCUUAGGAUUGUAAAAUUCUUUCACCGGGGACGAUAAUGACGGUACCCGGAGAAGAAGCCCCGGCUAACUUCGUG
Molecule: ribosomal RNA, 434 nt
Filed under: uncultured bacterium
Lineage: Bacteria
Description: partial 16S ribosomal RNA
Rfam family: Bacterial small subunit ribosomal RNA
Source: RNAcentral